This is a long non-coding RNA of Adelges cooleyi (spruce gall adelgid), 919 nucleotides long. RefSeq lists it as uncharacterized. Lineage: Eukaryota; Metazoa; Arthropoda; Insecta; Hemiptera; Adelgidae. The record is from RefSeq and is a predicted model, not a curated record. The transcript has 4 exons.
AGAUCCUUUACAUCCCAUAGAAUAUUUCUCAAGACAUAAGCCAAAAGUAAAUAUUCAAAUACAGCUGAAAAUUGACUUAACCUUGUUGAUUACAUAUUAUCGGUCUGUCAACGGAUACAUUUUGUAACUACAUAUGUCCGACUCUCCAGCUAACAGUAAAUUUUUCAUCAAAAUUCUACUGAUAGAGCAGAAAUCAGAAAUUUGAUGUAACCUUAUAAGCUCAUAACUAUGAGCAACGGAUUAAUUUUUCCCAGUGUGUACCCAACCCAAUUCUACAACUGAUCAAGAAAUUUUACUCACAAUUUGUACUGGUUAAAUAACUGAAAAUUAGGAUUUGAAUACCAUCAACCCCGAUGAAGCAGUUACUUACGGUGCUGCCGUUCUUAGUGGAGAUCCAAGUUAAAUAUUUGAAAAUUUAACCCUCAUUGAUGUCACUCCUCUAUUGUUGGGUAUAAGUGUUAAGGAAGAUGAUAUAAUGGACACCAUAAUACCGAGAAACACACCUAUUUCGUGUAAGAUGACGGACUACACUACACUCAGUGAUAAACAAGAGCAAAAUAUAUAUAUAUAGGAGUUUUUGAAGGAGAAAGUACACUUAGUCAUCAUAAUAAUCUUUUGGGGAGUUUUUUCUUAACUGGAAUAGAGCCAGCUCCCAGAAGUAUACCCAGAAUCAUUAUAACUUUUAAUAUAGACUCCAAUGGUAUUCUAAGUGUUUCGGCCACACAAAAACGGCUUUACCAAAAGUAUAGUUAUAAAAAAUGAAAAUUUAUUGUAAAUAUAAUUUUUGUUAUCUUUAGGUUAAACAUUUUUCAUGUACACAUUUUAUUUUAUAAGUGCUAAAAAAAUGUAUUACCUAAACAAAUUUCAAAAAGCGUUCUAUUCAAAUAAAUACUUUCUACAGGUGUGCGUUGAAAAAUAA